GGAAGUUACAAACUUAUGAUGUUCACCCCAAUGUUAUAUUUCACUCCUAACGUUCUUGGCAGUACAACAACAGUACAAUGUAUGCACAAUCUAGCCAUAAAUGAUGUUUAGGAUGUGUGUAGUUGCUAUAUUCAGACAAUAAAAUCAGUAGACAAACUGAAGCUCUCUUUAGUAUACAUAGGGUACUUCGUUUCAAUAAAAAAAAAUAAUGGUGUGCAGUUCUACUUGAGGAAGAUUAAAAGCUAUCCCUGUUAUUCAGGAUAUGUGUAGUUGUCAUCCGAAUGAUCAAUAGAAAAACUUUUACUUUAUCAGAAUGCCUAAAGCAUAACCAUCGGCUCCCAACUCAUGACCAUUGGCUCUCAGCUCUAUCCUGAUUUAACUUCAAGCACAUAAUCAAUGAAUAUAGGGACAACCUUCUUCUUUUUGAGUUGGAUCUUAUUCGCCAUUGGGACUACAAUCGUACAAAUUCCCUGUAAUACCAUAUAAAUCUAAUUAAUUCUUCUUAAUUAUAUACCAUCAUCAUCAUCUAUUAACAAAAUAGAAACGAAAAAAAAAAAAAAAAAAUUGUAAUAAACAAAAGGUAAAAAAAGUUUUGAACACAUUAGCAUGUAGGAUACUCUUCCAAAUGCACAACCACUAUCUGCCCAUAGAUUUGGUUCUUAAUGAAGGACAACAAGUGAAUUUUGUUAUCAAUGGAAAACACCUCUUUGAGCAACUACAGAUUUCAGUAUAGUGUGUAGUUAGCAUCACGGUGUUCAUGUGUGUGGGUAUCAAUGUAUCAUCAACUAUGAACAAAACACAAAUGAAAAUGAAAAUGAUUCUGUAAUGUAAUUGAACUUACCCUUAUGAUAAUCUGGUAAAUCGAUGAUCCUAUGUAAUUUCGAAUUCAUCCCCGAAUUAGCUUUCUCUUUCUUUUUUAAUGGAAUAAACAAAAAAAUACUACUAGUUCUUUCAUCCAUCUUGUUCGGCGCAGCAGCAACUCCUAAAGUAAUUUAGGGCAAACAAGAGUGUUGAAUUUAUAACCGUAGAAGUUGGACCU
Molecule: long non-coding RNA, 1039 nt
Filed under: Aquilegia coerulea
Lineage: Eukaryota; Viridiplantae; Streptophyta; Magnoliopsida; Ranunculales; Ranunculaceae
Description: long non-coding RNA (ACOE_LNC000774)
Source: RNAcentral